GAUGAACGCUGGCGGCGUGCUUAACACAUGCAAGUCGAACGGAAAGGCCCAAGCUUGCUUGGGUACUUGAGUGGCGAACGGGUGAGUAACACGUGGGUGAUCUGCCCUGCACUUCGGGAUAAGCCUGGGAAACUGGGUCUAAUACCGGAUAGGACCACUUCUUGGAUGUUGUGGUGGAAAGUUUUUUCGGUGUGGGAUGAGCUCGCGGCCUAUCAGCUUGUUGGUGGGGUAAUGGCCUACCAAGGCGUCGACGGGUAGCCGGCCUGAGAGGGUGUACGGCCACAUUGGGACUGAGAUACGGCCCAGACUCCUACGGGAGGCAGCAGUGGGGAAUAUUGCACAAUGGGCGCAAGCCUGAUGCAGCGACGCCGCGUGGGGGAUGACGGCCUUCGGGUUGUAAACUCCUUUCGCUAGGGACGAAGCGUUUUGUGACGGUACCUGGAGAAGAAGCACCGGCUAACUACGU
This 466-nucleotide ribosomal RNA is filed under the name uncultured bacterium. RNAcentral describes it as "partial 16S ribosomal RNA". It matches the Rfam family "Bacterial small subunit ribosomal RNA", at positions 28 to 506 of the family's 1533-position model. The record is from RNAcentral.